This 506-nucleotide ribosomal RNA is filed under the name uncultured bacterium. Its description in RNAcentral is "partial 16S ribosomal RNA". It matches the Rfam family "Bacterial small subunit ribosomal RNA", at positions 29 to 523 of the family's 1533-position model. The record is from RNAcentral.
AGUGAACGCUGGCGGUAGGCCUAACACAUGCAAGUCGAACGGCAGCACAGGAGAGCAUGCUCUCUGGGUGGCGAGUGGCGGACGGGUGAGGAAUACAUCGGAAUCUACUUUUUCGUGGGGGAUAACGUAGGGAAACUUACGCUAAUACCGCAUACGACCUACGGGUGAAAGCAGGGGAUCUUCGGACCUUGCGCGAUUGAAUGAGCCGAUGUCGGAUUAGCUAGUUGGCGGGGUAAAGGCCCACCAAGGCGACAAUCCGUAGCUGGUCUGAGAGGAUGAUCAGCCACACUGGAACUGAGACACGGUCCAGACUCCUACGGGAGGCAGCAGUGGGGAAUAUUGGACAAUGGGCGCAAGCCUGAUCCAGCCAUACCGCGUGGGUGAAGAAGGCCUUCGGGUUGUAAAGCCCUUUUGUUGGGAAAGAAAUCCAGCUGGUUAAUACCCGGUUGGGAUGACGGUACCCAAAGAAUAAGCACCGGCUAACUUCGUGCCAGCCGCCGCAGUAA